CCUACGGGUGGCAGCAGUGAGGAAUAUUCGGCAAUGGACGAAAGUCUGAACCAGCCACGCAGCGUGAAGGAUGACUGUCUUCGGGGCUUUAAACUUUUUUUUUAUGGGAAUACAUAGUUCUAAGUGAGUGUGCUCGUAUUUACCAUACCUAUUCAGAACGGCUAACUUCGUGCCAGCAGCCGCGGUAAUACGGAGGGUCCGAGCGUUAUCCGGUUUUAUUGGGUUUAAAGGGAGCGUAGGUGGGUUGUUAAGUCAGAUGUGAAAGGUUACGGCUCAACCGUACAGUUGCAGUUGAAACUGGAAGACUUGAGUGCAGUAGAGGAGAGCGGAAUUCGUGGUGUAGCGGUGAAAUGCGUAGAGAUAACGAAGAACUCCAGUUGCGAAGGCAACUCACUGGACUGUAACUGACGCUGAGGCGCGAAAGUGUGGGGAUCAAACAGGAUUAGAUACCCUGGUAGUC
RNAcentral lists this ribosomal RNA (460 nucleotides) under uncultured bacterium. RNAcentral describes it as "partial 16S ribosomal RNA". It matches the Rfam family "Bacterial small subunit ribosomal RNA", at positions 338 to 795 of the family's 1533-position model. The record is from RNAcentral.